GAGGUGUCCCCAAGGUGGCCUUGGGAGUGUCCCUGGGAGUGUCCCCAAGGCGUCCCCAGGGGUGGGGACAGGGCAAGGACCCUGCAGGCUCUGUCACCACCCUGGGGACACCAAUGUCACCAAGUCCAGAGGCUCUGGAGCACCGGGAAUGUCCCCAGAAUGUCCCUGAGGUGUCCCUGGGAAUGUCCCCAAGGUGGUCCCAGGACUGUCCCCAAGGUGUCCCCAGGGGCUUCAUACGGGACCGGGUCCCUCCACCCCCCGUGCCCGAGGGGACAAUUCUGGGUGUCCCCAAGUCGGGGUGUCCCCAAAUUCUCAGGUGCCACCACUUUGGGGUGUCCCCAGUCGGGUGGCAGCACCCCUGGGUGUCCCCUGGACAGGGUGGGGACACCGAGGGCCCAGAAGGGACAAGGACAAAGGGACAAAGGGCACAGGGGUGGCCCUGCUGUCCCCUCAUUGUCCCCUCACUGCCACCCUGGGCACACGGGGACAGAGCCAGGGGACAUCUGAGCAUAAAGUGCAAAGAGGGACAGGGACAAACUGGGGACACCGGGAGGGGACUGGGGGACACCUGGGGGGUGGCCCUGGCUGGGAUCACCUGGGGACACUGAGGCCACCACUGGGACCACAAAGGGGACAUUGAGGCCACCAAAGAGGGGACAUUGAGGGGACAUCGAGGCCACCACUGAGAGGACAUUGAGGGGACAUCGGGACAUUGAGGGGACAUCGAGGCCACCAUGGCUGGGAACACCUGGGGACACUGAGGCCACCAUUGGGGACCACCUGGGCGAUGUCACCUGGGGGACAUUGAGGCCACCAGUGGGACCACUGAGGGGACAUUGAGGCCACCACUGAGGGGACAUCAAGGCCACCAUUGGGACCACCUGGGGGAUGUCACCUGGGGGGCCACCAUGGCUGGGACACCUGGGGGACACCAUGGCCACCAUUGGGACCACUGAGGGGACAUUGUGGUCAUCACUGGGAUCACUGAGGGGACAUCGAGGCCACCAUUGGGACAUCACCUGGGGGGUGACCACGGCUGAGGACACUGAGGGGACACCCCUAUGGAGUGACCAUGGCCUGGAUGACCAUGGGGACAUCCCAACAAAGCCACCCCAGCUCCCACAGCAGUGUCCUCUCAGUGUCCCCCCAAUGUCCCCUCAGUGUCCCCUCGGUGUCCCCUCAGUGUCCCCUCAAUGUCCCCCCAGUGUCCCCUCAAUGUCCCCUCGGUGUCCUCUCAGUGUCCCCUCAGUGUCCCCUCGGUGUCCCCUCAGUGUCCCCCCAGUGUCCCCUCAAUGUCCCCUCAAUGUCCCCUCAGUGUCCCCUCAGUGUCCCCAGGCCCUUGGGCUCUCACACGGUGCCACCACAGCUCCUGUCCCACGGGGAGCCACCAAAACCCCCCCGAGAUCCCUGAGGGGCUCCAGGACCCCCAAAUCCUGGGAUCAAGGUGGAUCUAGGAGGGAUCUGGAGGGAUCCAGGAGGAUCUGGGGGUGUCCAGGGGAUAUCUGGGGGUGUCCAGGGGGGAUCUGGAAGGUCCAGGUGGGAUCUGGUGGAUUCUGGUGGAGUCUGGAGCAUCUGUGUGAGAUCUGGGGGAUCCAGGAGGGAUCUGAAGAAUCCGUGAGAAAUUUGGAAGGUCCAGGUGGGAUCUGGAGGAUCCAGGUGGGAUCUGGAGGAUCCUGAUGGAGUCUGGAGCAUCUGUGUGACCUCUGGAGGAUCCAGGAAAGAUUUGGAGGAUCCAGGAGGGAUCUGAAGAAUCCGUGUGAAAUCUGGAAGGUCCAGGUGGGAUCUGGUGGAUCCAAGUGGGGCCUGGUGGAGCCAGGAGGGAUCUUGGUGGAGCUGGGCAGGAUCUGGAGGACCCUGGUGGAGUCUGGAAGGUCCAGGUGGGAUCUGGAGGAUCCAGGAAGGUUCUGGAGGAGCCGGGCAGGAUCUGGUGGAGCCAGAAAGGAUCUGGUGCCGAGGUGGAGCCUUGGAAGCUUCAAACAGUGCUGGGAGAGAGCUCAGGGAGAGCCCCAGGGUGCAGAUGGAGCUGGGAUCUGGCGGGAUCCUGGCUGGGAUCUGGGUUCAAUCCUGGUGGAUCCUGGCUGGAUUUGGGCUCAAUCUUGGCUGUGAUCCCAACUGGAUCUGGGUUCAACGCCAGCUGGAUUUGGGCUGGAUCCCAGCUGGAUCUGGGCUGGAUCCCAGCUGGAUCUGGGCUGGAUCCCAGCAGAUCCCUCAGUUGCUCCAGCACAAUCCACGGCCCUGCUGGGUGGCUCUGGGCUCAGUCCUGGUGGAUCCUGGCUGGAUCUGGAUUCAGUCUUGGCUGGAUUUGGGCUGGAUUUGGGCUGGAUCCCAGUGGAUCCCUCAGCUGCUUCAGCACUGCCCACAGCCCUGCUGGGUCUGGGUUCAAUCCUGGUGGAUCUGGGCUCAAUCCCAGCUGGAUCCCAGUUCAGAUCCCAGUAGAUCCCAUCAGAUCCCAUGGAUCCCUCAGUUGCUGCAGCACUGCCCACGGCCCUGCGGGUUGGAUCUGGACUCAGUCCUGGUGGAUCCUGGUUGUGAUCCUGGGUCAAUCCCAAUGGAUCUUGGCUGGAUUUGACCUGGAUUUGGGCUGGAUCCCG
RNAcentral lists this long non-coding RNA (2591 nucleotides) under Junco hyemalis (dark-eyed junco). Its description in RNAcentral is "lncRNA (ENSJHYG00000000919.1)". The record is from RNAcentral. Lineage: Eukaryota; Metazoa; Chordata; Aves; Passeriformes; Passerellidae.